ACGGGUGAGUAAUAUAUCGGAACAUACCCUAGAGUGGGGGAUAACGUAGCGAAAGUUACGCUAAUACCGCAUACGCACUAAGGUGGAAAGUGGGGGAUCGCAAGACCUCAUGCUCAUGGAGUGGCCGAUAUCUGAUUAGCUAGUUGGUGAGGUAAAGGCUCACCAAGGCGACGAUCAGUAGCUGGUCUGAGAGGACGACCAGCCACACUGGAACUGAGACACGGUCCAGACUCCUACGGGAGGCAGCAGUGGGGAAUUUUGGACAAUGGGGGCAACCCUGAUCCAGCAAUGCCGCGUGAGUGAAGAAGGCCUUCGGGUUGUAAAGCUCUUUUGUCAGGAAGAAACGGUGAUCUCUAAUAUAGAUUGCUAAUGACGGUACCUGAAGAAUAAGCACCGGCUAACUACGUGCCAGCAGCCGCGGUAAUACGUAGGUGCAAGCGUUAAUCGGAAUUACUGGGCGUAAAGCGUGCGCAGCGGUUAUAUAAGUCAGAUGUGAAAUCCCCGGGCUCAACCUGGGAACUGCAUUUGAGACUGUAUGCUAGAGUGUGUCAGAGGGGGUAGAAUUCCACGUGUAGCAGUGAAUGCGUAGAUAUGUGGAGGAAUACCGAUGGCGAAGCAGCCCCUGGGAUAACACUGACGCUCAUGCACGAAAGCCUUGGGGAGCAAACAGAAUAGAUACCCUGGUAGUCCACGCCCUUAAACGAAAGUCUACUAAAUUGUCCGGUCUUAAAUUGACUUGGUAACGCAGCCUAAACCCGUGAAGUAAACCGCCUUGGGGAG
RNAcentral lists this ribosomal RNA (780 nucleotides) under uncultured bacterium. RNAcentral describes it as "bacterial SSU rRNA". It matches the Rfam family "Bacterial small subunit ribosomal RNA", at positions 102 to 880 of the family's 1533-position model. The record is from RNAcentral.